This is a non-coding RNA of Pseudohyphozyma bogoriensis, 98 nucleotides long. Lineage: Eukaryota; Fungi; Basidiomycota; Microbotryomycetes; Chrysozymaceae. The record is from the annotation of a GenBank genome assembly.
UCGGUGGUAGUAUAGUGGUUAGUAUGUGCGUUUCCCAUCAAAUGGCCCUCUUCCGAGGGAAAUUACGCACGACGUGGGUUCGAUUCCCGCCCAUCGAA